Molecule: ribosomal RNA, 159 nt
Filed under: Caloplaca scrobiculata
Lineage: Eukaryota; Fungi; Ascomycota; Lecanoromycetes; Teloschistales; Teloschistaceae
Description: 5.8S ribosomal RNA
Rfam family: 5.8S ribosomal RNA
About the family: 5.8S ribosomal RNA (5.8S rRNA) is a component of the large subunit of the eukaryotic ribosome.
Source: RNAcentral
AAAACUUUCAACAACGGAUCUCUUGGUUCUGGCAUCGAUGAAGAACGCAGCGAAAUGCGAUAAGUAAUGUGAAUUGCAGAAUUCAGUGAACCAUCGAAUCUUUGAACGCACAUUGCGCCCCUUGGUAUUCCGAGGGGCAUGCCUGUUCGAGCGUCAUUG